This 218-nucleotide small RNA is filed under the name Firmicutes bacterium CAG:56. Its description in RNAcentral is "Clostridiales-1 RNA". It matches the Rfam family "Clostridiales-1 RNA". The record is from Rfam by way of RNAcentral. Lineage: Bacteria; Bacillati; Bacillota.
UGAUGCCAGGGUCAAAAGGUCUAAAUCCACAUGAGCUUGCUCAUCGGUGGAUUUAGACCUAAGGACCCGCCCCGAUAUGGAGCAGAACAUCCAGUGGAUGUUCGUUUUGCUCCGACCGAAGCGGAGCGUAGACAUAAAAGUGGGAUGAUAAUCCCACGAUAUGCGAAUACCGGAGAGGAUUGUGGGAGUGCGAUGCACGGAACAAUCCGUAGGCAUCA